AAAAUUAUCUAAUAAGUCUCAUUAAGUUAUAAAAACAAACACCUCUAAUUAACUUAAUUAAUUAAGUUAAAACACUUUAAGUUAUUAAAUUAAAAAAAAAACGUGACCUUAGUUUAUUCUUUUAUUCUCUAAGUUUUUCUCUAUAGAGAAAACCUCGUCAGAGAGCAAAUAGUAAUGGGUGGUUAUUUUAAACCAUUUCAUGGUAUCCUUACCAGGUGUUUCAGCCCAUUUAAGAAUAAUUUGGCCCAAUUAUCAGGCCCAGCCCUUAUUGCAUGAAAGUGUUAAAAAGUAACAUAGGAAAUUGUACACAAAUCAAAGAGGGCAGCAAGAAACAAUUCCGCAAGCCGACGGCAAGUAGUCUAGGCCAACUCAAGCAAGGAUUCCAUGUCAGUUGUCACAGGCACAAACACACUAGUCGACGAGCAUAAGCAAACACCACAAAUUAUCACAACAAUUGGUGCCAUCGUUAAGAGUCUGAAAUUUUUUCUCAACCAAAGGUGAUGACAAAGAAGGAAGCCAAUCAUCAAGCAAGAAUGAAGCAAAUUGUCAAAUUAAAAGAAAGCCAAGGCAAACUAUGGUAAAAGGAAGCAAAGCCAAUAAAUCAAAUUUAGGAAAGAAGCCAAGCAGCACCACAAGCCAAAUGUCACCAAAGCAUUGACCUGUCGAGCUGUGGAUAAGAAGCAACUCCAACGACUUCAAGCUGUUUUUGAGAUUAAGGACCCUUUUGGGUUUGAUUUCCAGCACACUUGGACUGUCACAACUCAGCUGUUAAGGUGUUUAAUAAAAUCUAUUGGAAUAUAGCUCCACGGAUCAACUGGUGGUUUUUUCUUUUUUAUUUCAUAAUUUUUGUAAUAAUUGUUGAGUAUAAAAAUUAAUGAAAAAUUUAUUAUUUACCAUAAUCUAUAAACUUCAAUAAAUUAAACUUUUAUCCGACAACAGCAAUAAACUAAAAUCCAUAGUAUUUCUGUACCAAAGAACUUAAAAAUAAAAGUCUAGCUUAUAUUGUACAAACAAGCUGCAUAGAUUUAUGUGACAACAAUGUGAAACUCUCUAAAAUUGACCCCCCCCCCCUCGGGCAUCCUAUUUGAUAACCAAAUCAUUUAAUAAGCAAAUAAAGAUCCAUAUGUUAUCCCAUUUUUUUUGGCUAUCUUCGUUUUUUGAAAGGUUAUUUUUUAUUUACUCCCAAAAUAUUCCUUUCAAAAUGGUCAUGCUGCUCCCAAUCCGUUAGAAUAUCUUGUUAACUGCAAUAUUUAACUGCCGUUGAAUAAACAAUACUUUUUCUUCCCCUUCAAUAUUAAAAAAAAUUUAAUUUUAAUUUAGCCCUAAAACGUAAAGGGUUUUUUAAUCUAAAAAGUAAAAUGGGAUUAAAAUGAAUGUAAUCCAAAUUGAUAUAAAACAUAGUCUAAAAGAAUAAAAUAUCAGAAUAUAAAUUUAGA
This 1436-nucleotide long non-coding RNA is filed under the name Citrus x clementina. RNAcentral describes it as "Citrus clementina (C. clementina) long non-coding RNA (CCLE_LNC002670)". The record is from RNAcentral. Lineage: Eukaryota; Viridiplantae; Streptophyta; Magnoliopsida; Sapindales; Rutaceae.